GAUCUUUAUAUAUUAAAUAAUUAGUAAACAUUAGAUUAAUUUUUUUUUUAAUUAUUGAUAUAUUAUAUUGGGGUAAUAAUAAAAUUUUAAAAAUUUUUAUUUUUUAUUAUCAACUAUGAUUGAUUUUUUGAUCCAAUAUUAUUGAUUAUAAAUUUAAGUUACCUUAGGGAUAACAGCGUAAUGAUUUUUGAGAGUUCUUAUUGA
This 204-nucleotide ribosomal RNA is filed under the name Psychodopygus squamiventris maripaensis. RNAcentral's name for it is "partial large subunit ribosomal RNA". Lineage: Eukaryota; Metazoa; Arthropoda; Insecta; Diptera; Psychodidae. The record is from RNAcentral.